RNA transcript from Cornus florida, 5210 nucleotides. It is a transcript of the gene named jacalin-related lectin 3-like, with no coding region annotated. The transcript is spliced from 10 exons. The record is from RefSeq and is a predicted model, not a curated record. NCBI's taxonomy places the organism in Eukaryota, Viridiplantae, Streptophyta, Magnoliopsida, Cornales, Cornaceae.
CUCCCAAAACAGCAGCUCUCUCUCUCUCUCCCCAAAAUAUUUUCUCCCUCUGCAAAUCAAGUUUUCAAAGUUAGAUCUUUCAUUUGCCAUUUAGAUUUCGACUUUGCCAUAGAAGGCAAAGUUGACGAGCUCGACGAGAGCUUCGUAUUGAUCGGAAAAUUGCUUAUGAUUCCUUUGCAUUUUGCUAUAUAUACCCAUGCCCUCUUUGUUUUAUUUCGAGACUCCUCUAGCAGCUAAUGUUCUAGACAGCUCUUUCUUGGAGUUUUUCUCUGUUUGUCUCCUCCGAUUUCUAUCUACAAUUUGCUUCAAUAUCUGAGUCAUCGGACAGCCUUUCCGGUCUCUUCUCUUUUGGUGUGACUACAUGGGGAAUUGGCAGACAGUUACUUUUGGACCAUAUGGUUCUCGUGAACCUGGUAAUCAAUGGAAUGACGGAACUUACAGCACGGUAAGGGAAGUAAUUAUAUACUCGGCCGGGUCGGAAAUUGGAUCCAUCCAAGUUGUCUAUGAUAAAAGAGGAAGGCCAGUAUCGGGAAACAAGCAUGGUUUUUGCAGCCAACAAUCAUACAGGGUGAAAUUAAACUAUCCUACCGAAUACCUCGUUUCAAUAUCAGGGUACUGUGAGAGCUAUCUUAAUACAUGUGUUGUGAAAUCUCUUACAUUACACAGCAAUAUAAAACAAUAUGGACCAUAUGGUAAGGAAGAAGGAAGUCGUUUUAUGACCCCAUUAAAUGCUGGCAAGAUUGUUGGAUUCUUUGGAAGAGUGGGUGAACGUUUGGAUUCAAUUGGAGUAUACAUUAAGCCAUUCAAAACUACAAUACCAUGUUUUGGUCUAUUUGGAACUACUAGUGAACAACAGUGGGAUGUCGGAACUAACCAUGCAUUUGGAACUACUGGUGGACAGCACCACGAUGACGGAACUACUCAUUCAUUUGAAACUACUGGUGGACAACAGUGUGAUGAUGGAGCAGACAAUGCAUUGGGAACUACUGGUGGACUACAAUGGGAUGAUGGAACUUCCGGCAUGGACACCAUUGCGAAUGGUCAGACAGUUACUUUUGGGCCAUAUGGUUCUUCAGAACCUGGUAAUCAGUGGAAUGACGGAAUCUAUAGCACGGUAAGAGAAAUAAUUAUAUACUCAGCCGGACUGGAAAUUGAAUCCAUCCAAGUUGUCUAUGAUAAUGGAGGAAAGGCGGUGUGGGGAAACAAACAUGGUUUUUGCACUCGACAACCAAACAGGGUGAAAUUGAACUAUCCUACCGAGUACCUCGUUUCAAUAUCAGGGUAUUGUGGGUACUAUCUUAGUACAUAUCUUGUUGUGAAAUCACUUACAUUACACAGCAAUAUUAAGCAAUAUGGACCGUAUGGUAAGGAAGAAGGAAGUCAUUUUAUGACCCCAUUAACUGUGGGCAAGAUUGUUGGAUUCUUUGGAAGGGUGGGUGAACGUUUGGAUUCAAUUGGAGUAUACAUUAAGCCAUUCCAAACUAUAACACCUUGUGUUGGUCUAUUUGGAACCACUGGUGUCGGAACUAACGAUGCAUUUGGAACUAUUGGUGGACAGCACCACGAUGACGGAACUAACCAUUCAUUUGAAACUACUGGUGGACAACAGUGUGAUGACGGAACUGACAAUGCAUUGGAAACUACUGGUGGACACCAGUGUGAUGAUGGAACUUCCGGCAUGGACACCAUGGCGAAUGGUCAGACAGUUACUUUUGGGCCAUAUGGUUCUUUAGAACCUGGUAAUCAGUGGAAUGACGGAAUCUAUAGCACGGUAAGGGAAAUAAUUAUAUACUCAGCCGGACUGGAAAUUGAAUCCAUCCAAGUUGUCUAUGAUAAUAGAGGAAAGGCGGUGUGGGGAAACAAACAUGGUUUUUGCGCCCGACAACCAAACAGGGUGAAAUUGAACUAUCCUACUGAGUACCUCGUUUCAAUAUCAGGGCCAAUUUCACUGGAUUCAAUGGAUGGUGUCACGAGUGCUAACUAGGAGCAAAGACUUUUCCUCCUCUGGUCCAGCAAAAGAACUUCACACGGGGGUAAUCUUUUUGAAGGUCAGACAAAGGAUUGGGUGUAUGAAUGGCCGGUUUCCUCUCCACCGUCCUCUCCAUUAUUAGCUUUCGCUAGUGUUAAGACUACUCCAUCUGCGUGGCAUCAUAGAUUAGGCCAUCCUGCAUUUCCUCUUUUAAAGCACAUUGUUUCUCAUUAUCAGUUAGAUUUGUCCUCCUCUAUGUCAUCUGAUUUCUUAUGUAAUGCUUGUCACUGUAAUAAAAGUCAUAAAUUACUUUUUUUUCUACCUCUUCUCUUAUCUCUUCUCAACCACUUGAAAUCUCUGAUGUAUGGACCUCUUCAACUAUUUCACAUGGCGGCUUUAAAUAUUAUGUCAUCUUUGUUAAUCACUUCACUAAAUAUAUUUGGUUUUAUCCUCUCAAACAAAAAUUUGAAGUUAAAGAUGUUUUUAUAAGAAUUAAAGCCAUUGUGGAAAAACACUUCAAAAAUAAAAUUCAUACAGUUUAUUCAGAUAAUGGUGGUGAAUACUUGGUUCUUGCUACUCAUGGCAUUUCUCAUCUUACUACUCAGCCUCAUACACCUGAACACAAUGGGUAUUUUGAAAGACGACAUUGUCAUAUUGUCGAAACAAGUCUUACUCUACUCUCUCCCAUGCCUCACUUCCUUUAAUUUUUUGGUCUCAUGCUUUUGCUGCUGCUGUUUACUUAAUUAAUCGAAUGCCCACUCCCACACUUAAUCUUUCUUCUCCCUAUGAAACAAUUUUUGGUUUCGCCCUAAACUAUUCCAAACUUCGAAUUUUUGGUUGUUUAUGCUACCCUUGGCUUCGUCCUUAUUCUACUCACAAACUUGACUCUCGGUCCAAACAAUGUAUCUUUCUUGGGUACUCUCUUACUCAAAGUGCCUAUUUAUGCUUUCAUCCUUCUACAGUAAGAAUGUUUGUUUUUCGUCAUGUUAAAUUUGUUAAGUUGGUACUUCCUUUUCUCACUAUUUCCACUCCAUCUCCCCGACCACAACCUAAUACUAUCUCCACUUGGAUUCCUCUUGUAAUAAAAAAUCCGACAUGUCCAGUUUCUUUAGUGCCAUUCUCCACACCAUUUGAAGUUCAACCUCAAUUACAACCCUUGUGUGAUGCUCUGUUGGUCUCUACCACCACCACAUCGGCUCCUCCCGCUUGACCCCAAUUGCUGCAAGAGUCUCACACCCAAUUAACCCCCUCUGCACCUUCAGCCGAACCCCAACCAAACUCAAUACACACUGCCUAUACCAAUUCCUCACUCCCAGCACCUAUACACACUUUGGCCACUAGGGCCAAAAACAACAUCCGAAAGCCAAUCCAGAAACUUAACCUCUCCACUCAACUCUCCCAAGCUUGUGAUGUAGAACCAAACACUGCGACCCAAGCCCUCAAAGAUCCGAAAUGGCGUAGGGCCAUGUCUGAAGAAUAUGAUGCUCUCAGUCGAAAUAGGACAUGGGAGCUUGUACCUUCUAUUUCUAGCCACAAUAUCGUUGGUUGUAAGGGGAUAAGGGCCAUGUCUGAAGAAUAUGAUGCUCUCAGUCGAAAUAGGACAUGGGAGCUUGUACCUUCUAUUUCUAGCCACAAUAUCGUUGGUUGUAAGGGGAUAUUUCACACUAAACGUAAUUUUGAUGGUUCUAUUGACGGGCACAAAGUAUGCUUGGUUGCAAAAGGCUUUCAUGAACACCUGGGAGUUGACUAUCAUGAUACAUUUAGUCCUGUGGUUAAGCCUACUACGGUUUGUCUUGUUCUUAGCAUUACUAUUAGUCGUGGGUGGUCUCUACCACAACUUGAUGUAAACAAUGCGUUUUUGCAAAGCCAUCUCUCUGAGGAUGUAUAUAUGUCCCAACCUUCAGGUUUUGUUGAUUCUGACUAUCCAACUUAUGUUUGCAAGCUUUGAAAAGCUAUUUAUGGGCUUAAGCAAGCUCCACGAGCAUGGUACCAUGAGCUUCGCAAAUUUCUCAUUGCUUCGGGAUUUCAAAAUUCUCAUGCUGACACUUCUCUUUUUGUUUUCAAAACUGGAGGUCAUCUUAUGUUCUUCUUGUUUACGUUGACGACAUUAUUAUUACCGGUGAUAAUGAUGAUUUGGUUCGUCGGUUUGUGCAUAUGCUUUCUCACCAAUUUUCUUUUAAGGAUCUUGGACAACUAUCUUAUUUUCUUUGUGUGGAGGUUAUUCCAAAUGCCAGAGGUAUCUUGCUAUCCCAACGGCGAUAUAUUAUGGAUCUUCUUGCUCGAACAAAAAUGAUGGAUGCUACCCCGGUACUCACUCCUCUACCUACAAGUCCCCCUCUUACAUUGCAUUCGGGUUCUACUCUCUUGGAUCCUAUAGAGUAUAGAACCAUUGUUGGGAGUUUACAGUAUCUAUUAAUCACAUGGCCGGAUAUAGCUUUCGCGGUCAAUAAGCUCUCUCAGUUCAUGCAUCGGCCAACUACCGACCAUUGGGUUUUUGUAAAAUGCCUCUUACAUUAUCUUUGUGGUUCAACUAAUGUAGGCAUUGAGUUUUACCGUGAUUCCCGUCUAUCAUUGCAUGCCUUUUCCGAUGCUGAUCGGGCUGGUAACAAGGAUGAUUUUUCUUCUACAAGUGCAUAUUUGUUUAUCUUGGCCACAAUCCAAUAUCUUGGAGUUCGAAGAAGCAACGCAUGGUUGCUAGAUCCUCCACCGAGGCUGAAUAUAGGUCCGUUGCUGCUACUGCUGCUGAACUCAGCUGGACCAACCUGCAGAUGCACUUACCAAACCACUCCUAGGUCUUGGUUCCUGUCUCUAAAAAACAAGAUUGGCCUCUUUGACCGAGCUCCAUCUUGAGGGGGCAUGAUAGAUAAGAUCGUAUAUUCUGUUGUAUUUUGAAUUGUAUCUACUUUAACUUAGUCUUUUGGUUUUCCAGCUCUGUCGUAUUUGAAGGAGUCAGUUUAGGAGGUUUGGUUCAUGAGUUGAACCUCUUGUUAUACUCUGCUAUAUAUAUUCUGUAAUGGAAUGUCAAGCCUGUGUGGCCAAAUUCCUUCUCCUCUGUUCAACACUAUUUAGCCUUUACCUUAAAUGUUGGUGAAAAUGGUUAAAGGCAACACAAACAUGUGUCUCUGCGUGUGAUUUUAAGUAAUUUUCAUAUUUUCGUAUUUGCUAAGCCUGAAAGUUUGGGUUGGUUAUUGUUUCUUGUGAAACUACGUCAAUUCAAUGAUAAGAUGUGGUAUGUUAUCUC